UUAAAUUGAAGAGUUUGAUCAUGGCUCAGAUUGAACGCUGGCGGCAGGCCUAACACAUGCAAGUCGAACGGUAACAGGAAUCAGCUUGCUGUUUCGCUGACGAGUGGCGGACGGGUGAG
This 119-nucleotide ribosomal RNA is filed under the name Escherichia coli. RNAcentral describes it as "partial 16S ribosomal RNA". It matches the Rfam family "Bacterial small subunit ribosomal RNA", at positions 1 to 110 of the family's 1533-position model. The record is from RNAcentral. Lineage: Bacteria; Pseudomonadati; Pseudomonadota; Gammaproteobacteria; Enterobacterales; Enterobacteriaceae.